GCUGUUUGGCUUUAAUAUGAUUUAUUUCCAAGAGGCUGCAGCCAUAAUCAGUGCCCUGUUAAAUUAUUAGAGCUAAUAUUAGGGCUUAUUCCCAGGAAGUGGUGAUGGUGGAGCACUUUAAAUGACACAAUUUAAUCUUCUUCAAGGAUUGACCAUCGAAGCAUAAUUUUCCACUGGUUCAUUACUGGAGGGUUAAACCAUUGAUUUGUACCUUCAGUCUGUUUCAAAAUGUCUAAACACAGAAAACCAAUGGGAAUGUGCACACCUUCAAGGAUUGUACUUAUUCAUGCAAUCCCGAACAUGGCUACACACAAUGAUCCUACUUUGUUGACAGACCUCAGUGAUGUCAAGAACAAAUGAUGGAGCUGAAACUUACUUGGUGCAGUUGUGCAGUCGCCCACUCGCCUCUCCUGCAACAUCAUCUGCCAGUGGUUUCUUCUUC
Molecule: long non-coding RNA, 442 nt
Organism: Pelobates fuscus (common spadefoot toad)
Lineage: Eukaryota; Metazoa; Chordata; Amphibia; Anura; Pelobatidae
Exons: 3
Source: RefSeq, a predicted model, not a curated record